AUGGAGGCGCUGAAGCAGAAGGCGAAGGACAUGGUCACCACGCGCGAGGGCGCGCUGGGAGCCGUGGCGGUGGUCGCCGGCGCCGUGGGCGCCUACUUCUUCUGGCCUGCCGGUGUGGCCGCCGGCGCCAUGAUGAAGGCCCCAGGCGCCGCCGGAUUCCUCAUCUCACGCGCGGCCUUCCUGGCCAACCCGCAGCUCUACUUCCAUCUCCUGCGCACCGCCGGACCCAAGGCAGCGGCCGCCGCCUUCCUUUAG
This 255-nucleotide ribosomal RNA is filed under the name Triticum aestivum (bread wheat). Its description in RNAcentral is "partial small subunit ribosomal RNA". The record is from RNAcentral. Lineage: Eukaryota; Viridiplantae; Streptophyta; Magnoliopsida; Poales; Poaceae.